CCAUGCAACCUGGCCUAGGCUCU
RNAcentral lists this microRNA (23 nucleotides) under Equus caballus (horse). RNAcentral's name for it is "eca-miR-8960". The record is from miRBase by way of RNAcentral. Lineage: Eukaryota; Metazoa; Chordata; Mammalia; Perissodactyla; Equidae.